RNAcentral lists this ribosomal RNA (468 nucleotides) under uncultured bacterium. RNAcentral describes it as "partial 16S ribosomal RNA". It matches the Rfam family "Bacterial small subunit ribosomal RNA", at positions 28 to 507 of the family's 1533-position model. The record is from RNAcentral.
GACGAACGCUGGCGGCGUGCUUAACACAUGCAAGUCGAACGGAAAGGCCCUGCUUUUGUGGGGUGCUCGAGUGGCGAACGGGUGAGUAACACGUGAGUAACCUGCCCUUGACUUUGGGAUAACUUCAGGAAACUGGGGCUAAUACCGGAUAGGAGCUCCUGCUGCAGGGGGGGGGUUGGAAAGUUUCGGCGGUUGGGGAUGGACUCGCGGCUUAUCAGCUUGUUGGUGGGGUAGUGGCUUACCAAGGCUUUGACGGGUAGCCGGCCUGAGAGGGUGACCGGCCACAUUGGGACUGAGAUACGGCCCAGACUCCUACGGGAGGCAGCAGUGGGGAAUAUUGCACAAUGGGCGGAAGCCUGAUGCAGCAACGCCGCGUGCGGGAUGACGGCCUUCGGGUUGUAAACCGCUUUCGCCUGUGGCGAAGCGUGAGUGACGGUAAUGGGUAAAGAAGCACCGGCUAACUACGUG